CACACGUGGGAUACCUUAGUAACGGCGAGUGAAGCGGUAACAGCUCAAAUUUGAAAUCUGGCUCCCCUGGAGUCCGAGUUGUAAUUUGUAGAAGAUGCUUUGGGUUGUGGGUUCGGCCUAAGUUCCUUGGAACAGGACGUCAUAGAGGGUGAGAAUCCCGUACGUGGCCGAGGCCCGCGCCUAUGUAAAGCUCUUUCAACGAGUCGAGUUGUUUGGGAAUGCAGCUCAAAAUGGGUGGUAAAUUUCAUCUAAAGCUAAAUAUGGGCCAGAGACCGAUAGCGCACAAGUAGAGUGAUCGAAAGAUGAAAAGCACUUUGGAAAGAGAGUUAAACAGUACGUGAAAUUGUUGAAAGGGAAGCGCUUGCACCCAGACUUGGGCGCUGUCGAUCACCUUGAGUUCCUCUCGAGUGCACUCGACAGCGCACAGGCCAGCAUCGGUUCGGGUGGCUGGAUAAAGGCCGUAGGAACGUAGCUCCCUCCGGGGAGUGUUAUAGCCUACGGUGCCAUGCAGCCCAGCCGGACCGAGGACCGCGCCUUCGGGCUAGGAUGCUGGCGUAAUGGGUGUAAGCGACCCGUCUUGAAACACGGACCAAGGAGUCUAACAUCUAUGCGAGUGUUUGGGUGGUAAACCCAUACGCGGAAUGAAAGUGAACGUAGGUGAGAACCCCUUUGGGGCGCAUCAUCGACCGAUCCUGAUGUCUUCGGAUGGAUUUGAGUAAGAGCAUAGCUGUUGGGACCCGAAAGAUGGUGAACUAUGCCUGAAUAGGGUGAAGCCAGAGGAAACUCUGGUGGAGGCUCGCAGCGGUUCUGACGUGCAAAUCGAUCGUCAAAUUUGGGCAUAGGGGCGAAGACUAUCGAUACCACC
Molecule: ribosomal RNA, 865 nt
Filed under: Erysiphe convolvuli
Lineage: Eukaryota; Fungi; Ascomycota; Leotiomycetes; Helotiales; Erysiphaceae
Description: partial large subunit ribosomal RNA
Rfam family: Eukaryotic large subunit ribosomal RNA
Source: RNAcentral